This 269-nucleotide ribosomal RNA is filed under the name uncultured prokaryote. RNAcentral describes it as "partial 16S ribosomal RNA". It matches the Rfam family "Bacterial small subunit ribosomal RNA", at positions 524 to 792 of the family's 1533-position model. The record is from RNAcentral.
GACGAAGGUGGCUAGCGUUGUUCGGAAUCACUGGGCUUAAAGAGCACGUAGGCGGCCCAUCAAGCGUCUUGUGAAAUCCCUCGGCUCAACCGAGGAAUUGCUUGGCGAACUGGUGGGCUUGAGGCAGGCAGGGGCGAGUGGAACUCUUGGUGGAGCGGUGGAAUGCGUAGAUAUCAAGAGGAACGCCAGCGGCGAAGGCGACUCGCUGGGCCUGUCCUGACGCUGAGGUGCGAAAGCCAGGGGAGCGAACGGGAUUAGAUACCCCCGUA